GCAAGGCCAGUCUAUGUCGUGUGGUACUGGAAAUGGACGGAAGUGAAUAUACAUACAAUGCUUUUAACUCCUCUAUGUGAAGAAAAACAAAAUGAAAAAAAAAAACAGCAUAAGAUUACUGUGCCAGAGGAACAAACAUGUCACAGGAGUCCAGGUCAGAUAAGAUCGGUUUACACAACACACAGCAAAAAAGAACAAACUGAGAGGAUAUAUAAUAC
Molecule: long non-coding RNA, 218 nt
Organism: Saccostrea echinata
Lineage: Eukaryota; Metazoa; Mollusca; Bivalvia; Ostreida; Ostreidae
Exons: 3
Source: RefSeq, a predicted model, not a curated record